RNAcentral lists this ribosomal RNA (406 nucleotides) under uncultured bacterium. RNAcentral describes it as "partial 16S ribosomal RNA". It matches the Rfam family "Bacterial small subunit ribosomal RNA", at positions 29 to 526 of the family's 1533-position model. The record is from RNAcentral.
AUUGAACGCUGGCGGCAGGCCUAACACAUGCAAGUCGAGCGAGCGGCGGACGGGUGAGUAAUGUAUGGGGAUGUGCCCGAGAGGGGGGGAUAACUACGGAAAACGAGGGCUAACACCGCAUCAUCUCGGAUGAACCCAUAUGGGUUGAGCUAGUAGGUGGGGUAAAGGCUCACAUAGGAGACGAUCUCUAGCUGGUGUGAGAGGAUGACCAGCCACACUGGAACUGAGACACGGCCCAGACUCCUACGGGAGGCAGCAGUGGGGAAUAUUGCACAAUGGGCGCAAGCCUGAUGCAGCCAUGCCGCGUGUAUGAAGAAGGCCUUAGGGUUGUAAAGUACUUUCAGCGGGGAGGCGUUACCCGCAGAAGAAGCACCGGCUAACUCCGUGCCAGCCGCCGCGGUAAUAC